AGUAGCCACGGGAAUACGAAGGGUGCAAGCGUUAAUCGGAAUUACUGGGCGUAAAGCGUGCGUAGGCGGUUUGUUAAGUCUGUUGUGAAAUCCCCGGGCUCAACCUGGGAAUGGCAAUGGAUACUGGCAAGCUAGAGUGUGUCAGAGGAUGGUGGAAUUCCCGGUGUAGCGGUGAAAUGCGUAGAGAUCGGGAGGAACACCAGUGGCGAAGGCGGCCAUCUGGGACAACAUUGACGCUGAGGCACGAAAGCGUGGGGAGCAAACAGGAUUAGAUACCCCAGUAGUCCCUGUCUCUUAUACA
This 301-nucleotide ribosomal RNA is filed under the name uncultured bacterium. Its description in RNAcentral is "partial 16S ribosomal RNA". It matches the Rfam family "Bacterial small subunit ribosomal RNA", at positions 510 to 808 of the family's 1533-position model. The record is from RNAcentral.